Gasterosteus aculeatus aculeatus (three-spined stickleback) is the source of this 10732-nucleotide long non-coding RNA. The record is from Ensembl. NCBI's taxonomy places the organism in Eukaryota, Metazoa, Chordata, Actinopteri, Perciformes, Gasterosteidae.
AAGCACGACAAUGUCACUUUUUCAAACAUUUAGAGACAAUUCAUGUACAUUCAUGCAAGUAGUAGUAGGGCGCAGUAGUUCUGACAGUGGGGUACCAGUGAUCAGAGCCCCCGACAUGCUGUGCAGUCAAAAAAUAAUAUUAAACAUAUUCAUUCAUUCAUUUUAGUCAAAUCUAUUUACUCUAGAUGGCCAUUUAUAUUAUAAGGGUCUUCAUUGACAAAUUUACACAAUUGACAAUUGUAUAGUUUUAAUGGCGUCUUAUUUUUUAGAUGUUAUAGUUUUGCGCUAGUGGACACUUGUUUGAGGUGUGGAUUCUGUGUAACUCGCUGUCCUGUCUCUGCCCUUUGCAGCAGCUCGUUAAUGAGCACAGGUGCGCCGUUGCCGUGGUUACUCGCACACACGCUGCAGUAUCUCUGUCUGACUCACAGCUGCUCCUAUGACCUGAUUAGUGGAGUCACAUGACGCAGCUAUGCUUUCUGUCAACAGACCAAUAUGAUAAAGACACUAGCCCCCCUGACCUCUUCUCACUGUUAAUCACUCUGUCUAUUUCUCCCCCUCUCUCCCUUCCUCCCUCUCUCUCUCUCUCUUUCCCCCACCUCCCUUCCUGACCCUCUUUCUUUCUCCCCCUCUCUCUCUCCCUUCCUCCCCCUCUUUCUUCCUUCUUUCCCCUCUCUCGCUUCCUCCCCCUCUCCCUUCCUUUCCAUUCCUCCCCUCUUUCUUCCUGAUGCUUUUUUCCAACCUCUUCUUUAUUAUUAAUAUUACUUUUAGAUAAUAGUUCAUGGCUUAACUGAUUUAAUUAAUUUUAAAAAACAGAAAUGUUCUUUUCUCAGCCUGAACUAUAUUAUGCUCCGGAGGAGAAGCAUAUCUUCCUAAAUUAAAUGAAAUAAGAAGAGUAUUAUCCUUCUUCAUCUGUAUUUUGUCCAUGUUUGGGGGUUUCACGGCUUUUACUGUCAAUCGCUGCCGGUUGCUAGGCAAUGGGAGAAGCGGAGGGGAAGCCGACGACGCAAACAGGAAGUCUUCCCGUAUGACAGAAGGUUCUAUUUCAGGGAUCGCUCUGUUCAGCCUAUGCGGUUGUUGGAGGACCUCAGCCACGAAUUGAGACAUAGCUACUGCUUCAGUUUGCCACCUGGGAUAGUACUAGCCAGCAUUGCACUAGCUAGCAUUGUGCCAUAUAGCAUAGUGCUAGCUAAUUUGCACUAGCUGCCACUGGCUCAUGCGCAUAAUGUUACAUCUGUCUGUCCGUUUCUCUCUAUUUCUCACAUCUCUUGACCGGACCACCGAGUUCUUAGCCCGUCAGAUGUUUUAUGCUUUUUUCCGACCUCUUUAUUAUGGGUGUGUACUGCACGGCUCCGAGCCUGUGACGUCAUUACGCGGUGCUUGUCACCUCACCGCUUUGGAUUUGCCGCACGCGAGUAUCUGGGUUCGUGUUUUUGUUUGUUAGCCAAUCGCUGUCAGUUCUGUACAUUCUGUCCAAUAAAACUCACUGGUUGCCAAGCGGUGAGUGAGUGAAAUCCCUGACGUCUGACUCAUUGAGGUUCAAGAGCUGAAAGAAAAUGGCACUCAAACAACUGCUGUGGACAAAAGCGCCCAAUAGUUAUUACAGGCCACCACCAAUCCACUUGUGUGUGGUUUUAAAAAAAGAGCAGCCCAGGGUGGUGACCUGGGAGUUCCAUGCGAAUGGUGUGAGACCAGGACUGGUGAAAAAAAAUGUCCUGGUUGCUCUCACGGAUGGCCAGUCGGUGGCUAAAGUCACCAUUUAUGAGGAGUUUUCCUCAAAGUGCCAAGAGGGGGGGAGCUAUUUCAUGAGGGGGUACGGACUGAGGGGAGAGUUCGUGCCCUACUCAAUUAAUAUUUCAAGGGAAACCAUGUUCUUCCGGAGUGGCCCAAUUGAGGUUACGCCGGAGCUCAGGAGGCAGGCGGAGAGCCUCAUCUGCCCCCCAUCUCCUCUCACCCCCCUGAGCAGCUGCACGGACACCCAGGGGCUGUUCACUGUAGAGGGCGAAGUGGUCCAAAUGUCAAUGGUGAAAAAAAUCACCAAAGGGAGAGAGGCCUUUCCACUGCGCCAGAUCAAGCUGCAGCAGGGGGAAACAGAGAUGGCUGUCAGCCUGUGGAGAGAAGCUGCAGCAUCUGAUGUGCUCCAGGUUGGAGCGACUGUCAGGGUGUCCCAUCUUAGGACUAACCAGGGACAGUUUGGGACACAACUGCACCAACUUCACUUCCGUUGAGGAGGUGAUCUCAGAGGAGGUGGUGGGUGCGUGUGGGGUGAUGGACCUCGAGGGCUCUCCUGGCAUCCUGAACCUCCUGCUGGAGGUCGACCGCAUGACUACUAUUAGCAGGGCUCUGUUGGCGCCCAUAGAGCCCCACAUCACCAACCCGCCCUUAAGGGUAAAGCUGCAGAAGCACGGCAAUCGGGUUGUCAAAAUUGAAAUAGUUAAAAGUUCAUUUGUUUUUUUAUGUUGUUUAUUUGUUCCUGAAUGUGUAGUUAUUUAUUCAGUUAGUGUUAAUUUUGUUACAUGUUCAUGUUAAUAAAUUUGAAAUAUUUAAAGAACAUUUCUGCUUUUUUAAUGGUGUCCUUUGUUUCAUAGAAUCUUCAUUAUUGACCGUAAAUGCUGUGAAUACUUUUCUGGUGAUUUGUAUAAUAUACACAUGUCUCUGAUGAGUCCGGCCUGGUCCACAGAGCCUAUCGGCGAGCCAAAGGGGGGCAGUGAUCAGAGCCCCCGACAUGCUGUGCAGCCCGCUCUCUUCUAACCUGCUAUGACUGCCGCUCAGGCCCCGACAAAUUCUUCCAAGCAAAACAUAAAAAAAAUAAUAUUAAACAUAUUCAUUCAUUCAUUUUGGUCAAAUCAAUUUACUCUAGAUGGCCAUUAAUAUUGUUAUAGUUUUAAUGGCAAUACAGGUUGAAAAACACUACCUUUAAUCAGUAACUGGAAGAGUUUCGGUAUCAAUACUACUAUUUCUACGGCUAUGAAUACUACAACUACUACUCAUUUUACUACUAUGACUAAUAGCUAACAAUAUUAGUGGGGAUGCCCGUAGAUAUUAGUGGAAAGUCACUUUAAUGCCUUAUCGUUUAUACUUUAGAGGUUAACUAAUAUCUAAGGUUGUGACUGUUUCACUUUCCAAAUCAGUAACUUAACAAAUGUUGAAUAAAUACACAAAGAAACUGAACUGGGGUGAACUUUGCUCCUUUUGUGUUGUGGUGUAAUUAUUAUCUAUAUACAUUUAGUUUAGGGGUGUGAUUAUAAACUAAGUUUACAUUUAGUUGUGUUUUAUGGAGAAGCAGCAUAACACAAGGAGAAUGACGUGUGUGCUGACAUUCAGAUACUGUAGCUUGUAUUCUGUAAUAUCUUAUGGUUAGAGUUCAAAUAGCCAUAUUCUAUACAUGAAACAAAUCAUUGCAUACAAGUUACAGUUUUUGCCCAUUGCUUGAACACAUUUUGUAAAAUUUCGCUCAUUGUGCCAAAACUCUACACACAAGUAAACAUGACACAACACUGAGAAAUAUACCAUUCACAUCUGUGUCAAAUUGAAACUGUACUAUCAAAACCUAACAUUCCUUUGUCAAAAUGUAACUCUGAUGACAAAAUGACACAUACAUGCAUCAUUUGAAUACACAUUCAGAUCAGCAGCAACACACUAGUCUACUUGACCUCACCUCAAUGUCUCCGCAGGCCUGUUCCAUUGCCUGCAGAAGAGGCAUACGGCCAUGGGGUUGGCGGUCAUAUACGUACCAUCUCCAAGCGAAAAAAAAAAAAAUUCCUCUAUAGGAUUUAGAAAUGGCGAGUAAGGGGGCAAGUACACAACUUCAAAUUGAUCAUGGUUGGUGAACCAGUUCUGGACCAGAGCAGCCCGAUGGAAACUAACAUUCUCCCAGACAACAACAAACCUGGGCUGAUCUGGUCCAUCUUGUACAAUUGCAUUAUGAAGUGCAUCUAGAAAUGUGAUUAUGUGUUGCGCAUUAUAGGGACCCAGUUUGGCAUGAUGGUGCAGUAGCCCUCGAAGACUUAUGGCAGCACACAAUGUUAUAUUUCCCCCGCGCUGCCCCGGGACGUGCAAAAUUGCCCUUUGGCCAAUUAUAUUUUUUUAACAUUCUGGGAAAUAUUCGCACCUGAUGUCCUGGAGGUUUUUAAUGAGAGUCUGGCCUCUAGUUCCAUGCCGAUGUCCUGCCGCAGAACGGUGAUAACACUACUGCCGAAGGGGAACCUGCAGGACAUCGGCAACUGGCGCCCUGUGUCUCUACUGUGCGUGGAUUACAAGCUUCUGUCCAGGGUCUUUGCCUCCAGGCUGAGGGAAGCUAUGGAGCAGGUCAUCCAUCGGGACCAGACCUACUGUGUGCCCGGCAGGUCCAUGGUAGACAAUGUCUACCUCAUUCGAGAUGUUUUGGAGGUCGCCAGCUCGUUAGGUAUUAAUACUGGUCUGAUUUCUCUAGACCAGGGAAAGGCUUUUGACCGCGUUGAGCACAGCUUCCUCUGGAAGGUCAUGGGGAAGUUUGGGUUCAGCGCUGGUUUCAUAGCUAAGAUCAAAGUGUUGUAAAGCGAGGUUGAGAGUGUGCUGAAGAUAAACGGUAGUCUGUGCGCUCCUUUAAGGGUGCGUAGAGGGGUCCGGCAGGGUUGUGCCCUGUCCGGAAUGCUCUAUGCACUCUCCCUGGAACCCCUUCUCAGCAGAAUACGCUCUAGCCUGGAGGGCUUGGUUUUACCUGGUUUUAGUAGGAACAUAUCAGCUUAUGCAGAUGAUGUUGUUGUUUUUAUUAAGGACCAGAGGGAUGCAGACCUUUUAAACAGCAUGGUGGAGGAUUUUAGCAAGGCAGCGAGGGUGAACUGGAGGAAAAGCGAAGCCCUUGCUGUCGGUGAAUGGCGUGACGGCCUCCCGGUUCUUCCCCAAAGGUUAGUUUGGAGAAAAGACGGUUUUAAAUACCUGGGGAUCUAUCUGGGACAAAGAGACAUGGUCCAAAAGAACUGGGAGGGCGUCACAGAGAAGAUAGAGGGAAAACUUGUAAAAUGGAAAUGGCUGCUCCCUCAGAUGUCUUUUAAAGGUAGAGUGUUGGUUUUAAACAAUCUCAUUGCAUCUCAUUUGUGGCACCGCUUAACCUGCCUAGACCCACCCUCUGGGUUUCUAUCCAACAUACAACGAAAGAUGGUAGAUUUCUUAAGGGAGGGUCUACACUGGGUGCCACAAGGGGUGCUGUUUUGAGCCAGAGAGGAGGGGGGACAGGGCCUUGUCCACUUGGCCAGCUGGACGGCCACUUUAAGGUUACAGUUUUUGAAAAGUUACCUCACAUGUCCGGAGGGUUUAGUGUGGCGAGAUGUGGCCACUUGUAUCCUCAGACGUACAGACAACCUGGGGCUGGAUACUGCUGUUUUUAAUGGAUCCCAAUAUUUUAAAUAUAAAAGGGCUGCCUCUGUUUUAUCAGGGCGUUUUUAAGUGUUGGGCCCUUUUUAUUCAAAAACGAUGUCCACUGUCUAUCUCUUUGUACUGGUUGUUGAGAGAACCAUUGAUUUGCAGGGCCAAGUUGGACGUCAGCAGCAGCGUCACCCCUGACCUGACGGGGGCGCUGCGAAAAACAAGAACAUUGUGCCUGCACCAGCCGGUGGACGCAGUGGGGCCGACGCUGAGCGAUGCCCCGGCCCUGGGCUCACUGCUUGGGCUGCAUUUGGUCCGGGGGGCGGGGAGGCUCCUGGAACUGUGGAGCCAAAGGCUGACGGGGGAAGAAAAGAGCCUCCUCAUGGAAUACAGCCAGAAGAAGAUGAUACCGGACCCUGCAGACCCAUUUCCAGAGAUCUACCUGAGUCCGGGGCUAGGGGAUCUCACCGGCCAGUCUAUGAGCUCAGAGAGACUAUUUAUCAUGUUUUUACUGAGUGUAAGCGACUCGCAGGUUUCUUCUCUCUUUUAACAUUGGUUUUUAGUCUUUUUAGCGUGUUUUUUACGGAAAGGGUUUUUAUUAUGGGAGCUGCCUACAAGAAAACGGAAAAAGAAAAAUGGCAGCUCCUUAACUUUCUGUGCGGAGAGGCAAAAAUGGCAAUUUAUUUAAGCAGAAAAAACAGAGAGGAGAACCGAGAGGGGCAGGAGGCAAAAGUGAUAUGCCUGUGCAACAUUAGAGCAAGGCUCUAAUGGACGCUUUUAAACAGCGCUGGUGUUUUAAUGACAUUGUUUGUUCUGUGGUCAAUGGCGAGCUGGUAUUUGCACGUUUUUAGCAGGUGAUUACAUAGUUUUACUUUUUUUUUUUUUUUUUAAUGUUGUAUUUUUUCUUGGAAGGAAAAAACAACAACAACAAAAAGUGGCACGUGUGAUCAUGUCUUUCUCCCGUCCUCCUCCUCUCUUUCCAUUCAUUCCCCUCUCCCUUCUUCACCCUCUUUCUUUCUCCCCUCUUUCUCCCUUCCUCCUCCUCUCUUUCCAUUCAUCCCCCUCUUCCUUCCUCACCCUCUCGCCCUUUUUCUUUCUCUCUUCCUCCCUCCCUCUCUUUCACCUUUGCUCUCUCUAGUGUGCUCUCUCCUUCUACCCUCCACAAUGCCAACAUGGAGGGAAUUUUACUGAAGUGUUCCACCAGCCAUCAUUGCUAAAGGGAUAAGAAACCUCUACUGAAAAUAAGUCACAUGCAGCAUUCAAAAUGAACAGUGACGGACAACUACGGCUACGGUUGAAUAUUUAUUGCAACAAAUUAUUAUUAUUAUUAUUAUAAACAAGCGUAAAAAACAAUUGAACAUAAGUAACAAGUCAAAACAAAAUGAACACAUAACUGAUACAUUAUGAACACAAUCUUAUAAACAUAUACAUUUUAUAACAGUAGAAAUUUAAAUUUUUCGCCACUUCCAUCGCCUGCACCUUGUUUCCUGUCAUUUUUAUUUGAACUUUUAUUACGGGUUCGAUCAUAACAAGUUCGAUUGGCUCCCACAAUCUCUCCUCAAUUAAGACGGUACGGCCGUCUUCUAGGAGAAGGUUGAGGUUCCCCGGAUCUCCCUCAAUCUCUAUCACCCCGAGUGCCCCCACGAUGUCCUCUGAGCGUACCUCCUGUUGAGAGAAAAGUGGACAUUAUCCCGCUGUCAGCCGCAAUCCAGAGCAAUCAUUAUCGUUUUUAAGCAGGAGAAUAAAAUAACCCCAGCACGGAGGCAUUGCAUUAUAAUUUAUUCAACUUUUUUUUUAAAUAACAUAACAUCACUCAAUCAAACUUUGCUGUUGAAGCCAGAUAGUGUAAAGAUUAUCUAAAAAGUGAAUGUUUGUUUCAAUUUCAUAAAAAAACAAGUAGGCCUACCUCGAUGGUGGAAAAGUUUGUGGACUGGAGUCUGAGCCCAUAGUUUAAACUCUCAGCUUUAAGAUGGGAAACUUUAAUGUGGGCCCCACCUGCAGCUGCCAUACGGCCGCCUCCCUCCAGAAACACAGCGACAUCUGUGAUUCCCCCUGUAGAAGACAACAGAGCAUCCUCCUUAUCUGCAUUGUGUUUGCCGUCACCCUCCUCCUCCUCCUGACUCGCUUUUUCUAUAUUGAACGGCAGACCAUAACGGCUGGUGACUCUAAAGUGCAAGUUCACACAUGGAAGUACACCGCAGGAUAAGCGGUUUGACAAUGAAUGUAUGGAUGGUUCAGAGUUUAGUAUGCCUUCUCAUCAUAAUAAUCUGUCUCGAAACCCUCAUUGAGUUCUCUUUCCUUCUGCCUCCUGUUCCCUGUCUAACUGCAGCCUGCCAGUGUUGGUGACUCCUUGGAUAUUUGACAGUAAGUUCUCACAUAUGAUUGACAACUGAAUGCACUUUCUUAAAACAUUUUGUGAAGUUGUAAUGAAUCAGUGAUGGCCGAGCUGCAUUGCCUGUGUGUGUGUAUUGCGUCUGCUAGAGUGAGACCCGGAGAUCUUAAGAGUGUGAGGCAGCGUCAGAAUCUGGUUAAAAAAAUAUGGAACUUGCAGCCAAAGUAUACCCUCUUGAGGCUUCAUUUCUUCAGAUUAAUGAGGGCAUGGUUAUGCUGAUUGGAUUAAUGUGUUCAUAGAAUCCCAGAGUUCUUUAGUUUUGGCCUACGGACACCAGUCACACAACAGUCACACAACCUCUGCUAAAAUAGUAAAAUAUAGUUUUGCGCUGGUUGUCAUUUGUUUGAGGUGUGGUUUCUUGGUAAAAUCCGUUUACUCUGUGAUCAGCCCGCGAAAACAGCAGCUGCGCCGUCUCCAUGACGACCACACAGCCUCGUGCCAGCACUCUCUCUCUCCCUCCCCUACGGAGUCUGACAGACACGCAGGCUCACGUGGGUGGGUUUCUCAUCCAAUCACAUACUGUCUACUCUUGUCCAAUAGAAAUCUUUCGUUCAAUGGGUGAGCGGGAAAAUAGAGAAUCCUUGACAUCUGACUCAUCAUUUACAUAAACUAUCCUGAAGUCGAAAACAGAGAGAAGUAAGUUUUUUUGUCCUCAUAAAUGUGAUAAUCAAAACUAUAUGAAUAAUACUUGACAUACACUAUAUAUAUCUCCUUUUAUUGACAAACUAUUACAAAACAAAACUAUUAUAUAGAAUUUUUUUUUAACAUUGCUAGCUAGAUAUCUUAAAGUAGCAGCCAUCAAUUUCCUGUUCCUCUGACAUCCAAGUAAUUGUCAUUAACUUAGUCGCCUGAAGGUCAAAAGCUGAGAGAAGUGUUUUUUCCCCUCAAAUGUACUAAUUUAAAAUAAUAGCUGACAUAUACUAUAUAUCUUUAUAUUGACAAAUUACAUUAAAACGUUUUUUACAAGCUAGCUAGAUAUCGGUCAUGCGAUAUCUAGCUAGCACCGUCAUUUCCUGUUUUAGGCAUACAAAAGUGAAUCACGUGAAUUUCUAAGAUGAAAUGUGUGAGCUUACUCCUUAACUUAGUGUCCAUUUUUAUAUUUCAGAAUGGCCCUAAAACAGCUUCUUGGGACCAAAAUGCCCACGGCUUAUUUGAAACCACCAGCAAUCCACCUAUGCGUGGUUCGGAAAAAAGAGCAGGCCAGGGUGGUGACCUGGAACUUUGGCGUAACGGGUGCGAGUCCAGCUGUUACAAAAAAAAAAACGUACUUGUGUUUUUUUCGGACGGGAAGUCUCUUACAAAGACGACCAUUUAUGAGGAGUUUUCCUCCUUUUCAGGAGGGUGGGAGUUAUUUUGUUAAGGGGUAUGGGUUAAGAGGGCAGUCGGUUCUCCAUCAUGCUAAAUAUUAGUAGGGAAACCGUCUUCUUUAGAAGAUAGCAAUAAGCCAAGAGCUCAGGAGCCAAGCGGAGAGCCUCCUCUGCCCCCCAUCUCCUCUGACCCCCCUGAGCAGCUGUGCAGAUGUGGCGGGGCUGUUUACCGUGGAGGGGGAGGUCGUCGAAGUAAGUUCAGUCUUAGCCUGUGGUCGUGUAAAUAAGGUAACAGGUUUAAAAAUAUGGUGCAUUGGCAUACAUUGUUAUUAACUCACAAAUCCAUCUUGUUUAGAUGUCAAUUGUGAGGAAAAUAAAAAAGGAAAAAGAGGCCUACCCCCUGCGCCAAAUACAGCUGCAGCAGGGGGAAACAGCAGUCUGGGAUCUGCUCCAAGUGGGGGGACACAUCAGAGUGUCCCAUCUAAGGACCACCCUGUCCCAAUAUGGGACGCAGGCGCAUUCCACAAAUAUUUCCACCAUUGAGGAGGUGACAUCAGAGGAGGUGGUUGGUGUGUGUGGGGUGGUUGAAGUGGAGGGCUCUCCAGACACCCUGAACCUCCUGCUGGAGGACGACCGCACCACCACCGUCAGCAGAGCGCUGUGGGAGCCCCUUGACCCCCAACUGAAAAAUCCACCCCUGUGAAAAUAAAAAUCAUUGGCAAUCAUGUGUCCAAAAUGUAAUUGUAUAAAGUUUAAUUUGUUUGUUUCAUAUGUUCUUUGUUCCUGAACAUUCUGUAAUGCAUGAGUUGUUUUACUGUGUUUAUUUUGUUAUUUCUAUUGUUGGAUUGAUCCGUUCUGUCAAAAAAAAAUAUUUCAAAAGCUGAGAGAAGUGUUUUUUUUCCUCAUAAAUGUGAUAAUUAAAAUACCUGAGUGUAACAGAUUGGUCCUCUGGGGGGGGGGUCUUGGAAAGACGAGCAUGAGGCAGUCGGGUCCAUUAUAAAUGGUUUUAUUUAUUGUUUCACACCCAAAACACAGCCGGCUCCAGCUUCCUCGCUCUCUCGCUGUCGCCGGACCUCUCCUACUUAACAGGCAGAAUACAAACACGGAUUAAUAUCAGCUGAGGCCAAUUGCCUCCCCCGGCACCGUUCCCUGAACCACUCCCUUCUCAGUCCCCCCCUGCAGCCGAGCCAAACCACGCCCGCCACCACACUGACAUAUACUAUAUAUCUUUUUGACAAUUUACAUUACAACAUUGCUAGCUAGAUAUCUCAAAGUAUCAGUCAUCAAUUUCCUGUUUUAGUCAUACAACAUACCUUUUCCAAGCGCAGAGCCUCUUCUGACCCCCCUGAGCAGCUGUACAGAUGUGGCCGGGCUGUUCACCGUGCAGGGGGAGGUCCUCGAGGUGAGUUCAAUCUUAGCCUGUUGUGGUGUAAAACAGGGCAACAGGUUUAAUAUUUGGUGCAUAUUGGCAUAAAUUGUUAUUAACUAGCAAAUCCAUCUUGGAAAGUGUCAGUGGUAUGAGAUCAGGGCUCCUAAAUGAAAAAAAAAUUAGGAGCAGUGUUUUUUUUAAGCAGUUCCUGCUCAUUGCCACACUAUUGCAGAGCCAUAGAAAAGAGUUGCGACACCACACUUUUUUAUAUGGCUCUGGCCCAUUGGUUGCAAAUUUGCAUAAAGUUUAGUGCAUCGGGUAUCG